CGGGGGGCAGCAGUGGGGAAUAUUGGACAAUGGGCGAAAGCCUGAUCCAGCAAUGCCGCGUGAGUGAAGAAGGCCUUCGGGUUGUAAAGCUCUUUUACCCGGGAAGAUAAUGACUGUACCGGGAGAAUAAGCCCCGGCUAACUCCGUGCCAGCAGCCGCGGUAAUACGGAGGGGGCUAGCGUUGUUCGGAAUUACUGGGCGUAAAGCGUACGUAGGCGGCUUUGUAAGUCAGAGGUGAAAGCCCACGACUCAAUCGUGGAACUGCCUUUGAGACUGCUUCGCUUGAAGAUGGGAGAGGUUAGUGGAAUUCCGAGUGUAGAGGUGAAAUUCGUAGAUAUUCGGAAGAACACCAGUGGCGAAGGCGGCUAACUGGACCAUUCUUGACGCUGAGGUACGAAAGCGUGGGGAGCAAACAGGAUUAGAUACCCGAGU
Molecule: ribosomal RNA, 432 nt
Filed under: uncultured Zymomonas sp.
Lineage: Bacteria; Pseudomonadati; Pseudomonadota; Alphaproteobacteria; Sphingomonadales; Zymomonadaceae
Description: bacterial SSU rRNA
Rfam family: Bacterial small subunit ribosomal RNA
Source: RNAcentral